AGGACGAACGCUGGCGGCGCACUUAAAGCAUGCAAGUCGAACGAAGCCUUCGGGCUUAGUGGCGAACGGGUGAGUAUCACGUGAGGAACCCACCCCGGAGACCGGGAUAACUGCGGGAAACCGCUGCUAAUACCGGAUGUCCCCAUCGGAUCGCAUGGUCUGAUGAGGAAAUGGAUUCCGCUCCGGGACGGCCUCGCGGCCUAUCAGCUUGUUGGUGGGGUAACGCCUACCAAGGCAUCGACGGGUAGCUGGUCUGAGAGGACGAUCAGCCACACUGGGACUGAGACACGGCCCAGACUCCUACGGGAGGCAGCAGCUGGGAAUCUUGCGCAAUGGGCGAAAGCCUGACGCAGUGACGCCGCGUGCGGGAUGAAGGCCUCCGGGUUGUAAACCGCUUUCAGCAGGAACGAAGAUGACGGUACCUGCAGAAGAAGCUCCGGCCAACUACGUGCCAGCAGACGC
RNAcentral lists this ribosomal RNA (462 nucleotides) under uncultured bacterium. RNAcentral describes it as "SSU rRNA". It matches the Rfam family "Bacterial small subunit ribosomal RNA", at positions 26 to 518 of the family's 1533-position model. The record is from RNAcentral.